Molecule: ribosomal RNA, 324 nt
Filed under: uncultured bacterium
Lineage: Bacteria
Description: bacterial SSU rRNA
Rfam family: Bacterial small subunit ribosomal RNA
Source: RNAcentral
GAUGAACGCUGGCGGCGUGCUUAACACAUGCAAGUCGAACGAAGCGGUUGAGAGGAAGUUUUCGGAUGAAAUUUCAAUUGACUGAGUGGCGGACGGGUGAGUAACGCGUGGGUAACCUGCCUCAUACAGGGGGAUAACAGUUAGAAAUGACUGCUAAUACCGCAUAAGCGCACGAGAUCGCAUGAUAAAGUGUGAAAAACUCCGGUGGUAUGAGAUGGACCCGCGUCUGAUUAGCUGGUUGGUGGGGUAACGGCCCACCAAGGCGACGAUCAGUAGCCGACCUGAGAGGGUGACCGGCCACAUUGGGACUGAGACACGGCCCAA